Molecule: transfer RNA, 93 nt
Filed under: Escherichia coli
Lineage: Bacteria; Pseudomonadati; Pseudomonadota; Gammaproteobacteria; Enterobacterales; Enterobacteriaceae
Also listed under: 1 other name
Description: tRNA-OTHER
Source: RNAcentral
GGGACUGUUUUUAAACGUAAUUCACUGUUUUUAUUACAGUAAAAAUAGUAUGUAGGAAUUUCGGACGCGGGUUCAACUCCCGCCAGCCCACCA